AUGAGGAACCGGUUGAGUACGCUUACGAAGAUCAAGCUUUCGACAACUCUGAGAACCUUGCAGAUUUACAUGAAGAGGGAGAUUGCCUGCAGCUGGAGACCUGAAAAGCUAUAUCAGAGAUACCUAUUCUCCACACCUCCAAAUGAGCUGAAAUUUGACGGAGAAUUAUUUUGGAAUGUAUAUAAAAUACUGGAACAAAGAAGUACCAGAGGGGGCCCACCAAGUGCCCACAGGGUACCAAGGCGUGCCCACCCCCCUGGCGCGCCAUGGUGGCUUGUGGGCCCCCGGGCCAUCCUCCGUGUACCAUCUUCUGCUAUAUGA
This 321-nucleotide ribosomal RNA is filed under the name Triticum aestivum (bread wheat). RNAcentral describes it as "partial small subunit ribosomal RNA". Lineage: Eukaryota; Viridiplantae; Streptophyta; Magnoliopsida; Poales; Poaceae. The record is from RNAcentral.